RNAcentral lists this ribosomal RNA (277 nucleotides) under Salmonella enterica. RNAcentral's name for it is "partial 23S ribosomal RNA". It matches the Rfam family "Bacterial large subunit ribosomal RNA", at positions 1134 to 1328 of the family's 2925-position model. Lineage: Bacteria; Pseudomonadati; Pseudomonadota; Gammaproteobacteria; Enterobacterales; Enterobacteriaceae. RNAcentral also lists the same sequence under 11 other names. The record is from RNAcentral.
GUAAUAGCUCACUGGUCGAGUCGGCCUGCGCGGAAGAUGUAACGGGGCUAAACCAUGCACCGAAGCUGCGGCAGCGAACGUAUCACUUAAAGCGAUUCAGCGGGUUACGAUUGACGGAGCGAAGCGACGUCAAAGCGUAUACAAAGUCGAGUCGGUUUAAGGAUACGUUCGUUGGGUAGGGGAGCGUUCUGUAAGCCUGCGAAGGUGGCCUGUGAGGGUUGCUGGAGGUAUCAGAAGUGCGAAUGCUGACAUAAGUAACGAUAAAGCGGGUGAAAAG